Stegostoma tigrinum is the source of this 107-nucleotide small nuclear RNA. The record is from RefSeq and is a predicted model, not a curated record. Lineage: Eukaryota; Metazoa; Chordata; Chondrichthyes; Orectolobiformes; Stegostomatidae.
GAGUUAGCUUUAGCAGCACAUACACUAAAAUUGGCACAAUACGGCGAAGAUUAGCAUGGCCCCUGCCUUAGGAUGACACUCAAAUUCGUGAGUGUUCACAAAACAAA